AGUAACGGCGAGUGAAGCGGUAACAGCUCAAAUUUGAAAUCUGGGUCUUUUAGGCUCCGAGUUGUAAUUUGUAGAAGAUGCUUUGGGUGCGGCCCCGGUCUAAGUUCCUUGGAACAGGACGUCAUAGAGGGUGAGAAUCCCGUAUGUGAUCGGUGGCUUGCGCCCGUGUAAAGCUCUUUCGACGAGUCGGGUUGUUUGGGAAUGCAGCUCUAAAUGGGUGGUAAAUUUCAUCUAAAGCUAAAUAUUGGCCAGAGACCGAUAGCGCACAAGUAGAGUGAUCGAAAGAUGAAAAGCACUUUGGAAAGAGAGUUAAACAGUACGUGAAAUUGUUGAAAGGGAAGCGCUUGCAACCAGACUUGCGCGGGGUUGAUCAUCCGGGGUUCUCCCCGGUGCACUCGGCCUCGCUCAGGCCAGCAUCGGUUUUGGUGGUUGGAUAAAGGCCUUGGGAAUGUGACUUCUUUCGGGGAGUGUUAUAGCCCUCGGUGCAAUGCAGCCUACCGGGACCGAGGACCGCGCUUCGGCUAGGAUGCUGGCGUAAUGGUUGUAAGCGACCCGUCUUGAAACACGGACCAAGGAGUCUAACAUCUAUGCGAGUGUUUGGGUGUCAAACCCAUACGCGUAAUGAAAGUGAACGGAGGUGAGAACCCUUAAGGGUGCAUCAUCGACCGAUCCUGAUGUCUUCGGAUGGAUUUGAGUAAGAGCAUAGCUGUUGGGACCCGAAAGAUGGUGAACUAUGCCUGAAUAGGGUGAAGCCAGAGGAAACUCUGGUGGAGGCUCGCAGCGGUUCUGACGUGCAAAUCGAUCGUCAAAUUUGGG
This 816-nucleotide ribosomal RNA is filed under the name Pezicula cinnamomea. RNAcentral's name for it is "eukaryotic LSU rRNA". It matches the Rfam family "Eukaryotic large subunit ribosomal RNA", at positions 82 to 915 of the family's 3401-position model. The record is from RNAcentral. Lineage: Eukaryota; Fungi; Ascomycota; Leotiomycetes; Helotiales; Dermateaceae.